UGAAGACGUGAAAAGAUUCUGAACCACAACCGAAAGUAAGAGAAGUGGAAAUGAUUUUGAAAGGAGCAGCAGCAGCAAAAGAUGUUGAAAACUCACACCAGAAUCAUAGAAAGCUGUGCAGAUGAGCAAGAAAAUGAAGCCCAUUAUAAGUGAAAAGUGAAAACUACAGGGUUUUCAAGGUGAUGUUGUAGAGAAAAGGACACACCCCACCAAGUGGUCGGAAAAGGAAAUGCAAGGAGAACCUAGUGUUUCAACUGAGCAUACCAUGCUUAUUUGCAGAGUUAUAAUGUUUUGCGGGUUAUAAUGUUUCAUUGCACCUGCUGGAUAAGGUAAAGAGGAAGACAGUCUAUUUGUGUCUUUAUGUUGGCAUACAUAUACUGUUAGAGUACAGCAGGAUUCACCGUAACCUCUGGAAUAUAUGGGUUGGAUUACU
Pogona vitticeps (central bearded dragon) is the source of this 433-nucleotide non-coding RNA. Lineage: Eukaryota; Metazoa; Chordata; Lepidosauria; Squamata; Agamidae. The record is from RefSeq and is a predicted model, not a curated record.